UCCCUGGUGGGCCAGUGGUUUGGACUUGGUGCUUUCACUGCCAGGACCUGGGUUCAAUCCCUGGUUGGGGAA
Non-coding RNA from Bos taurus (domestic cattle), 72 nucleotides. NCBI's taxonomy places the organism in Eukaryota, Metazoa, Chordata, Mammalia, Artiodactyla, Bovidae. The record is from Rfam.